CUUUUACUCCCUCCGUUCGGAAUUACUUGUCUCGAAAAUGGAUGUAUCUAGAACUAAAAUACGUCUAGAUACAUUCAUUUCUUCGACAAGUAAUUCCGAACGGAGGGAGUAUAUU
Molecule: non-coding RNA, 115 nt
Organism: Triticum urartu
Lineage: Eukaryota; Viridiplantae; Streptophyta; Magnoliopsida; Poales; Poaceae
Source: Rfam